RNAcentral lists this ribosomal RNA (117 nucleotides) under Candidatus Beckwithbacteria bacterium. Lineage: Bacteria; Candidatus Beckwithiibacteriota. The record is from RNAcentral.
UCCGGUCUUUGGAGCGUUGUCGAACCACCUCUUCCCAUCCCGAACAGAGUCGUGAAAGGCAGCAGCGGGGACGAUAGAGCCGAUUCUCAUCGGCUUGAAAAUACCUCAAGGCCGGAU